UAUCUCUGUAGAGUCUGCAUAUCAAUAAGCGGAGGAAAAGAAACUAACAAGGAUUCCCUUAGUAACGGCGAGUGAAGCGGGAAGAGCUCAAAUUUGAAAUCUUCAAGGUUCUACCUUGACGAAUUGUAGUUUAAAGAAGUGUUUUCUGUUAGAUGAGUAGCAAAAGUUCCUUGGAAUAGGGACAUCAUAGAGGGUGAGAAUCCCGUAUUUGGUUAUUCUUCUAGCUGUGUGAUACACUUUCAAAGAGUCGGAUUGUUUGGGAAUGCAGUCCAAAAUGGGUGGUAAAUUUCAUCUAAAGCUAAAUAUUGGCGAGAGACCGAUAGCGAACAAGUACCGUGAGGGAAAGAUGAAAAGAACUUUGAAAAGAGAGUUAAACAGUACGUGAAAUUGUCAAAAGGGAAGCGUUUGACACCAGUGUUGUUUUCUCGAAAAUCAAUUACGAAUGGCUUGAUUCUGUGUUGUAUUGACCUUAUCAAGCUUUCUUCACUUUUUUCCGAGUCUUUCUUAAUGCACUUUUCGGUUAACAAGUCAACAUCAGUUUCUUUUGUUGUAAAAGAGUAUUCGGAAGGUGGCUUUCUUUUCGGAGAAAGUGUUUAUAGCCCUAUACUUCUACAAUCGGAGAGAUUGAGGUCUGCAGCGUAGAUCCUUCGGGGUUAGAUACACUUGUGCUAAGUUGUAGCUUUUCAUAGACAACUUGUUGACUAUGUUUAGUCAUGCGGCUUACUCGCUUAGUGCUAUUUUACCUACGCUUAGGAUGUUGAAGAUGUAGCACAUCAU
RNAcentral lists this ribosomal RNA (777 nucleotides) under uncultured Neocallimastigales. RNAcentral's name for it is "partial large subunit ribosomal RNA". It matches the Rfam family "Eukaryotic large subunit ribosomal RNA", at positions 24 to 643 of the family's 3401-position model. Lineage: Eukaryota; Fungi; Neocallimastigomycota; Neocallimastigomycetes; Neocallimastigales. The record is from RNAcentral.